Molecule: ribosomal RNA, 232 nt
Filed under: uncultured bacterium
Lineage: Bacteria
Description: partial 16S ribosomal RNA
Rfam family: Bacterial small subunit ribosomal RNA
Source: RNAcentral
CGGACGGGUGAGUAAUGUCUGGGAAACUGCCUGACGGAGGGGGGUAACUACUGGAAACGGUAGCUAAUACCGCAUAACGUCGCAAGACCAAAGAGGGGGACCUUCGGGCCUCUUGCCAUCGGAUGUGCCCAGAUGGGAUUAGCUAGUAGGUGGGGUAACGGCUCACCUAGGCGACGAUCCCUAGCUGGUCUGAGAGGAUGACCAGCCACACUGGAACUGAGACACGGUCCAG